UCGAGUGAAUUGUUUUGCUGAUGACUUCUCCGGUAUGGUACAAAUUGGUCCAAAUAGAAAUUCAAAAUCACAAAUCGCUGACGAACAAAUUUUUAGUGAAACAGAUAAAGAACCAUUUAGAUGUCCCCCGGGACAGUCAUGCCACUUCCAUAUAUGGUAGAGGCAGAACUUGUAGAACCACUCUUUUUGCAAUUAAAGUAGCUUCUUCCAAAUAUGGGCAUGUUCCUCGGGGAUGUCCUCAUUAUUCAUCAACCUUAAGACAAUUCUUCACGCCAUAAAGGAAUAGUCUAACCUGUCAUCAAGAGCGAUCAAUUUUACAGGCACGCGGAUUUUCCGAGCUUUUCGCACGCAUGUGUUAUCUAAACUAAAACGGAAUUGACGGGAAGCACAGCAAAGAACGCCGUCACGCCAGGUGUUUUGAGACGGUUGUCUCUCUCAUCUCCACCGCCCUGGGCACUUUUGUCGCCAUUUUGGACAGUUUAGUGUCUCUCCGUCCCGUGAUUCCACGUCACAAACAUCCUUGUUAUUGUUCAAACCUGAGUAACCGGCAACGAUCCGCCCUACGUCACCGGCUUUUUCCACUCCCAUAGGGGAAGGUUUUAUAUUAAGGGUCGCGGGCGGUUGUGAUCCCAGUUUGAUAGUUGGGACCGCGACCGAACACACACAGACGUCACCCCGCUCCCAGGAACCACCAUGCCGGUGAGCCGUCUCUACGGUCAGGAAAACAGAAAAACGGCAGGACAUAAGCUCGCGCGAACCGACAGCGAGGAGGAACUGUCUGCCCUGUCAGACAGGAACUACAACCCGCGUUCCUCGGGCGCCAUCUUAGGUGGGGUGCCGGGCAAGCGAGCCCGAUUCCGGUCCCCCGGCUCCACCAUGCAAGCCAACGGGACAGCCGCGGGAGGGGAGGACAUGGCUGCCCGCCGACGGGCCUUGAUGGCCGUCAAGAUGGCCAACACGUUCAUGAACUGUAAAAAUUACGAGAAGGCCCUGAAGCACUGGACCGACGCGGUCGAGGCGUGCCCCACCUGUCCAGACUACCUGGCGGGGAGGGCCGGUUGUAACAUCAUGCUCGGCAAGUACGACGACGCCAUUAUGGACGCGGUCCAAGCCACCGACUUCGCCCCGGACUGUGUGGACGCGUACUGCAGCCACGGGGAGUGCUUACUCGCCCUUGGACGACCUAAAGAAGCCACGGAAGUUUACACCAAAGCCCAGAUGCUGGAGCCGAAAAACCAGGCCAUUUCCAGUGACCUCCGGGUCGCCAAGGACCUGAUUCAUUUGCAGUCUUUCGCCGAGCGUGACAUGGAGAAAGGGGACUACAGGCGGGUGUUGUUUUACAUGGACAAAGCUAUCAAGCAGGUCCCUCAGUGUGCUAAAUACAGGGUGUACAAGGGAGAGAGCAUGGUCAUGAUGCGGAACUAUAACGAAGCACACGAAGUACUGAGCGAGGUUCUGGAGUACCAACCCCAGAACGUAGACGCUCUGUACGCCAUGGGGCUGUGUCUAUACUACCAGGGGAACAUUGACGACGCCUUCGUACACUUUGAACAAGUGUUGGACAUUUCUCCCGACCACGAGAAGACCAACGCUGCGCUAGAAAAAGCCCAGGCGCUUGCCACCAAGAAAGAAGAAGGUAACGAUGCCUUCAAGGCAAACAAAUACGAGGAGGCGUUCGACAGGUACACGGAGGCGCUCGCCAUUGACCCACUAAUCGAUUUGACGAACUCAAAACUGUACUACAACCGAGCCGUGGUCUGUGUCAAAAUGAACAAACUGGUACAGGCCAUUGAGGACUGCACAAAUGCCAUCAAACUGGAUGAAUCAUACACAAAAGCCUACCUCCGGAGGGCCAAGUGUUACAUGGAGAUGGAACAAUUCGAACAGGCUGUUUCAGACUACGAAAGAGUAUGCGAUCAAGACAGAACGCCGGAACACCUGCAGUUCCUUCAAGAGGCGAAGAAGGCGCUGAAGAGAAGUACGUCCAGGGACUAUUAUCAAAUCCGUGGGGGUAGAGCGGACGGCAAGUUUGGAUGUAAUUAAGAAAGCGUACAGGAAGAAGGCAAAGGAAUGUCAUCCGGAUAAAAACGUGGAUUCCAGCGAGGAGGAGAAAGCCAUACAGGAGAAGAGGUUUAAGGAGAUCAGCGAAGCGUACGGUGUGCUGUCAGACGCCGAGGAAAAACGACGGUACGACCUGGAACAAGCCAUGGAGGGGGUACAGGACGCUUUGGAGGGUUUUCAAAGUUCGGAACUGGUAACGUACCCCACCCAGACUCAGAGGACUGGUAGAUUUGGACAAACACAUGCACAUGGGUUCAACGCUAACCCAGGAGCUAACCCAGGGGGUAGACAACGUUAUGGGUUUGCUAGUAGAGGAUUCACAAGUAGCCGAUUCAAGUUCCAUCAUGUAUGACGCAAUAAGUGGGUUAGGUGUUGAGUAUGCAUACUUCCUGUAUAGACCAGGUAGAGGACAAAUCAUGGCUAAUUUCACUGCGUUACC
Molecule: RNA transcript, 2500 nt
Organism: Branchiostoma belcheri (Belcher's lancelet)
Lineage: Eukaryota; Metazoa; Chordata; Leptocardii; Amphioxiformes; Branchiostomatidae
Gene name: dnaJ homolog subfamily C member 7 pseudogene
Exons: 1
Source: RefSeq, a predicted model, not a curated record